This 168-nucleotide ribosomal RNA is filed under the name Sebastapistes mauritiana (spineblotch scorpionfish). Its description in RNAcentral is "partial small subunit ribosomal RNA". The record is from RNAcentral. RNAcentral also lists the same sequence under 1 other name. Lineage: Eukaryota; Metazoa; Chordata; Actinopteri; Perciformes; Scorpaenidae.
CACCGCGGUUAUACGAGGGGCCCAAGUUGAUAGUCUCCGGCGUAAAGGGUGGUUAUGGAACACAUUAACUAGAGCCGAACCCCGUCAAGGCUGUCGCACGCAUCCGAACGGGAGAAGCCCGACCACGAAAGUGGCUCUACUGCACCAGACUCCACGAAAGCUAUGGUA